RNAcentral lists this ribosomal RNA (626 nucleotides) under uncultured Russulaceae. Its description in RNAcentral is "LSU rRNA". It matches the Rfam family "Eukaryotic large subunit ribosomal RNA", at positions 47 to 649 of the family's 3401-position model. The record is from RNAcentral. Lineage: Eukaryota; Fungi; Basidiomycota; Agaricomycetes; Russulales; Russulaceae.
UAAGCGGAGGAAAAGAAACUAACAAGGAUUCCCCUAGUACUGCGAGUGAAGCGGGAAAAGCUCAAAUUUAAAAUCUGGUGGUCUUUGGCCAUCCGAGUUGUAAUUUAGAGAAGCGUCUUCCGCGCUGGACCGUGCACAAGUCUCCUGGAAUGGAGCAUCACAGAGGGUGAGAAUCCCGUCUUUGGCAUGGACAUACCAGGGCUUUUGUGAUGCGCUCUCGAAGAGUCGAGUUGUUUGGGAAUGCAGCUCAAAAUGGGUGGUGAACUCCAUCUAAAGCUAAAUAUUGGCGAGAGACCGAUAGCGAACAAGUACCGUGAGGGAAAGAUGAAAAGCACUUUGGAAAGAGAGUGAAACAGUACGUGAAAUUGUUGAAAGGGAAACGCUUGAAGUCAGUCGCGUCGACCGAGACUCAGCCUCGCCUCGGCUUGGUGUACUUCUCGGCUGACGGGUCAGCAUCAAUUUCGCCUCUUGGAUAAUGGCGAGGGAAAUGUGACACCUUUACGGUGUGUUAUAGUCUCUCGUCGCAUGCAAGGGUCGGGAUUGAGGAACUCAGCACGCGCCUUUGGGUGUCGGGGCUUUGCCCACGAUACGUGCUUAGGAUGUUGGCGUAAUGGCUUUAAACGACC